GAAGAAAAUGAGAACAUCUCGAAAUCAAGAAAGUCAAGAAAGGAAAGAAAUUCACGACAACUCCCAACAAGACUGAAAGAUUAGAAAUCCCAGAUGCUUCAAGCUCGAAUUAAACAAGAAAGAAAGACUAUGGUCCAAGUGAAAGACGAGAUUUAUUCAGAGGUAUAAAACAGAUGCAGCGCAUUUCCUUCGACAACAUUUCGUGUCAGAGCUUAAAUUCAAGCACCAAAAUCAAGGACUGGAUAGUUGAAAAUCACAGGUUUUCGGUUGAAUCAAUGUAAAGGGCGGUGUAAAAUGAGAAAUUUUCACGCCGAAAAACUUAGAACAAUACUGGUGCUUUAGGUACACACUCGCCAAUAUUUUCUUUAUUUACUCUGUAAGUAACAACUGUUUAAGUGUGGCGAAUUUUCCCGCCAAAAGACUUAGAAAAAUACGGUGCUCAAAAUACGCAUGCGCCGAUUUAAAAAAAAAGAAAUUAGCUGUUAAUAAACUUAAUUUUGUUUACUUGUUGUAUUGUCUUAUCAUCUACUAAAUAAAUUGACCAGUUUUUAUGUUAA
Pocillopora damicornis (cauliflower coral) is the source of this 557-nucleotide long non-coding RNA. RefSeq lists it as uncharacterized. The record is from RefSeq and is a predicted model, not a curated record. NCBI's taxonomy places the organism in Eukaryota, Metazoa, Cnidaria, Anthozoa, Scleractinia, Pocilloporidae.